UGAGGACUCAUAGCAACCUCUGUCUCCUCUCCCACAUUCUAUUCUGUGCAUCUUUUCCUCUUCUUUGUGACUCCCCACCACCCAACCCCCGCCAGAAGCCAUUUUCAUGAACCCACAUUCCAUUAACCACUCUAGGACUUCAGUGGCUCGAGCAGUUUGCUGCCCCUAAGCUGCAUACCCGCUGGAUACACAGAAGUGCCUGGAGGUGGGGCAGAUUUGGGACACUGUCCUGCUCUCUCCUGCAUUGCUAUGUCCUCAUCGUUCUUCAAUUGGACAAACAAAUUGCAUCUGUGGCCAGCUAACGUUUGCAGUUGUUAAAUGUCGUUUCCUUACGGAGCCCCUGGUGAGCGACAGCAGACCUUCCUAAUCCAGUCACUAAGCAAAAGUGCACACUGCAAGGCUUUCAGAGAAGUGGCUGAUAAAUACAAACAAAGCCUGUUGGCUGAA
Non-coding RNA from Rattus norvegicus (Norway rat), 447 nucleotides. The record is from RefSeq and is a predicted model, not a curated record. Lineage: Eukaryota; Metazoa; Chordata; Mammalia; Rodentia; Muridae.